CCUCACCUCUGUGGCCUGUGACUACAUCUUCCAAGUCCUUCUGUGCAACAAAUCCCUGUCCCUUCUUGAUCUGGGGUCAAAUUUCCUGGAAGAUAAUGGAGUGGCAUCUCUUGGUGAGGCACUGAAGCAUCCAAACUACAAUGUUGAGCAGUUGUGGUUGGUGGAUUUUUGCCUCACUUCUCUCUGUUGUAAGGACCUCUCUGCUGUUCUUGUUUGCAAUGAAAAACUAAAGACCCUGAAACUAGGGAGCAAUGACAUCCAAGACGCAGAUGUCGAGCAGUUAUGUGAAGCUCUGAAGCAUCCGGACUGUAGAGAAUCUUGGGCUGGAAAUGUGUCAGCUCGCCAGUACCUGUUUUGAGGCCCUGGCCUCGGUUCUCACUGUCUGCAGAUCACGGAAGAGCCUGAAUCUGGACUGGAUUAGCUAGGACCAUGAUGCGGUGGUUGUGCUGUGUGAGGCCCUGAACCACCCAGCUCGGGUGAAUGGAUGUCCUUUCCCUCAGAGUGAGGUCAGCCCAUGGCUUUGCAAAUCUCCUUUUGACGAGGAGAUUCAGAUGCUGCUCACAGCUGUGGAAGAGAAAAAUCCCCACCUGACCAUUUCCCAUCUUCUCUGGGUCAACGAAGAGUACAGGAUCAAGGGUGUGCUCUCCUGACGGGGGA
Leptonychotes weddellii (Weddell seal) is the source of this 657-nucleotide non-coding RNA. The record is from RefSeq and is a predicted model, not a curated record. NCBI's taxonomy places the organism in Eukaryota, Metazoa, Chordata, Mammalia, Carnivora, Phocidae.